Molecule: ribosomal RNA, 466 nt
Filed under: uncultured bacterium
Lineage: Bacteria
Description: partial 16S ribosomal RNA
Rfam family: Bacterial small subunit ribosomal RNA
Source: RNAcentral
GACGAACGCUGGCGGCGUGCUUAACACAUGCAAGUCGAACGGAAAGGCCCUGCUUGCAGGGUACUCGAGUGGCGAACGGGUGAGUAACACGUGGGUGAUCUGCCCCGCACUUCGGGAUAAGCUUGGGAAACUGGGUCUAAUACCGGAUAGGAGCACUCUUUAGUGUGGUGGUUGGAAAGUUUUUUCGGUGUAGGAUGAGCUCGCGGCCUAUCAGCUUGUUGGUGGGGUAAUGGCCUACCAAGGCGGCGACGGGGAGCCGGCCUGAGAGAGUGUACGGCCACAUUGGGACUCUGAGACGGCCCAGACUCCUACAGGAGGCAGCAGUGGGGAAUAUUUCACAAUGGGCGCCAGCCUGAGUCAGCGACGCCGCGUGGGUGAUGAAGGCCUUCGGGUUGUAAACACCUUUCGCUAGGGACGAAGCGUUGUUGUGACGGUACCUAGAUAAGAAGCACCGGCUAACUACGUG